Non-coding RNA from Dipodomys ordii (Ord's kangaroo rat), 70 nucleotides. NCBI's taxonomy places the organism in Eukaryota, Metazoa, Chordata, Mammalia, Rodentia, Heteromyidae. The record is from Rfam.
GGCAAGGUGGCUCAGUGGUAGAGCACUUGCCUUGCAUGCAUGAGGCCCUGGGUUCGAUUCCCCAGUGCCA